This 547-nucleotide ribosomal RNA is filed under the name Millerozyma acaciae. Its description in RNAcentral is "LSU rRNA". It matches the Rfam family "Eukaryotic large subunit ribosomal RNA", at positions 62 to 626 of the family's 3401-position model. The record is from RNAcentral. Lineage: Eukaryota; Fungi; Ascomycota; Pichiomycetes; Serinales; Debaryomycetaceae.
AAACCAACAGGGAUUGCCUUAGUAACGGCGAGUGAAGCGGCAAAAGCUCAAAUUUGAAAUCUGGCGUCUUUGGCGUCCGAGUUGUAAUUUGAAGAUGGCAACUUUGGGUCUGGUGCUUGUCUAAGUUCCUUGGAACAGGACGUCAUAGAGGGUGAGAAUCCCGUAUGAUGAGAGAGCCAGAUCUUUGUAAAGUGCCUUCGAAGAGUCGAGUUGUUUGGGAAUGCAGCUCUAAGUGGGUGGUAAAUUCCAUCUAAAGCUAAAUAUUGGCGAGAGACCGAUAGCGAACAAGUACAGUGAUGGAAAGAUGAAAAGAACUUUGAAAAGAGAGUGAAAAAGUACGUGAAAUUGUUGAAAGGGAAGGGUUUGAGAUCAGACAUGGUAUUUUGUACACCUUCUCUCUCGGGAGGGGGCCUCUGCAGUUUACUGGGCCAGCAUCAGUUUGGACGGUAGGAUAAUGACCAGGGAAUGUGGCUCUUCUUCGGGAGAGUGUUAUAGCCUUGGUUGAUACUGCCAGUCUAGACUGAGGACCGCGUCUUGACAAGGAUGU